Molecule: ribosomal RNA, 232 nt
Filed under: uncultured bacterium
Lineage: Bacteria
Description: partial 16S ribosomal RNA
Rfam family: Bacterial small subunit ribosomal RNA
Source: RNAcentral
AACGAACGCUGGCGGCGUGCCUAAGACAUGCAAGUCGUGCGGAAAGGCUCCUUCCGGGAGGUACUCGAGCGGCGCACGGGUGAGUAACACGUGGGUAACCUACCUGAGGGUCUGGGAUAACUCCGGGAAACUGGGGCUAAUACCAGAUGAGACCACAGCGUCUUCGGGCGCAGCGGUCAAAGAUGGCCUCUCCUUGGAAGCUAUCGCCUACAGAUGAGCCCGCGUCCCAUUA